Molecule: long non-coding RNA, 451 nt
Organism: Triticum dicoccoides
Lineage: Eukaryota; Viridiplantae; Streptophyta; Magnoliopsida; Poales; Poaceae
Exons: 2
Source: RefSeq, a predicted model, not a curated record
AUCGGCCAUGCCUCUAUAUAAACAGCAGAAGGAACCAGCAAAGUAGUACAAGUCUAAACCAAACGGACAUAGGAGAAGAGAACACUAAACAAUUUCAUUAUGGCUCUAAUCCGGAUCAACACUGGUGUUCUGUGCUUGAUGGCACUUUUGAUGGUUUCAACCACUUUGUUGUCGAGUGAAGCAUCAGGGAGGAAGAUAGGCAAGGAAGCUAACAUUGGCGUCGAGGGGCACCGUGAACCCUACACUCCAUGUACGGAUCCUUCAUUUUGUAAUGAUAUCUGCAACAGAGAUGGUUACGGAGGUGGGACCUGCCGUCAUGGUCACUGCGAAUGCAUCAGAUAAAUGUAGCAAGAAAAUGACCAAGAAUAAUGUUUGGAAAUAAAGAUUCACUUGGGAGCAUUAUGAAUUGUUUUUCUAGCUGGAAUAAUUUAAUUGAACAUUUUUAUUUUCC